CUGACACGUGAUUAGCGAUCCUCUUCGGGGUUGAUUGCUUUUCUUAGUGGAACAUCGAGGGCUUUUAGUAAAGUUGACCUCGGUCCACCGUGUCGAAAAUCAACAGUCUGUGUGGCCCUCUACCGCUACUUGAGAUGCCCGGGCUGAAUUGCAUAUUCCUUAUCCUUCCGUAGGCCCUAUGGGCCAUUGACGGUUAGGAAAAACCAUGCAAAUUACACCU
This is a non-coding RNA of Caenorhabditis remanei, 220 nucleotides long. The record is from Rfam. NCBI's taxonomy places the organism in Eukaryota, Metazoa, Nematoda, Chromadorea, Rhabditida, Rhabditidae.